AUUGAAACCAGCCAUUACAGUCAUUCCAUCAUCCACGAAUUAAUUCCCCUGCUUUACAUCUCGUGCAUGAUCUUCCCUUCCACAUUUUUCUUAUCCUCUCCUAUCUCCCACGUGUUCCAACCGUAUCAUCCUACCCUCCCAUAUCCCACAUUCGGCCGACUGCAUUAGAUCUCCCGUUCAAAGACCAUAGCCAUAACGCCUUCCAGAUUAAUCCCAGCGAACUUCCCACG
This 230-nucleotide long non-coding RNA is filed under the name Phoenix dactylifera (date palm). RNAcentral's name for it is "long non-coding RNA (PDAC_LNC008927)". The record is from RNAcentral. Lineage: Eukaryota; Viridiplantae; Streptophyta; Magnoliopsida; Arecales; Arecaceae.